Molecule: long non-coding RNA, 424 nt
Filed under: Vigna radiata
Lineage: Eukaryota; Viridiplantae; Streptophyta; Magnoliopsida; Fabales; Fabaceae
Description: long non-coding RNA (VRAD_LNC012713)
Source: RNAcentral
GAAGAGAAGUAAGAGUUGGGAGAUGAGAAGAAACAAAUCUGGUGAGAGUUGAAAGGGGUGAGAAUAUGGAAAGAGAGAAAGUGAGACUUGGGAGAGUUGAGGAUGAGGCUGCGCAAGUGAAAAUGGGUGAGUAAAAAUGGGUAGAAAUUUAGGGUUUUAGAAUAAAGUAAAUAAAUAGGAUUAAAAGUAAAAAAGACUACUUUUAUAAUUAAAUUUUUUUUGUACAGGGUUGAGGAGGUGGAAGGAGCAAGGGUUGGUCCCCAAAAAAAUUGAUAAAUGGGGCAAAUUUUCACUCCCAAGAAAAAACCACCAAUGUUAGUGUUGGGAGGGAUAGAAGGGUGCUACUUCUUCAUGUUGCAUGAGACUUCUUUAUGGAAAAUAUUUUUUAACAACUUUUUUUUAAUAAUUUUUUUACAACAUCUAU